This is a long non-coding RNA of Pongo pygmaeus (Bornean orangutan), 2054 nucleotides long. RefSeq lists it as uncharacterized. The record is from RefSeq and is a predicted model, not a curated record. The transcript has 3 exons. Lineage: Eukaryota; Metazoa; Chordata; Mammalia; Primates; Hominidae.
CGUUCAUGAAGCUAAUGCCCCUUUUCUGGCCCUACCACAGGAUUCCAAGUUUUUUUUCCAGAUGGCUGUGCAGCUUCAGCCCUACCAGCAGGCUGGAGUCCUUAUCCACUCAACAAAAGAGAUGUGUGCUUGACUCUGAAAUGUUAGCAUGGCAUUUCUAAUUAUGACAAUACCGAGAAUCAUGCAACUGGAGAUACACGUGGAGAAGGCAACUUGUCUGGUAAAUAGUGCUAGGUGCUGGGACUAUGGAAACAAAUAUUUCAUUUCUAUGGGCCACGGACUCAUAAUUAAUUUUGAGACAGCAGGAUUUCAAUUGUACUGAUGCCAUCAUAGUUCACGGGAGAGAAAUUCUUCAACUUACUCUGGAGUCAGACUAUAUGUAAUGAAGUUAUUCCCGAGGUGAUUAGUCAUUACAAAUUCAAGUUAUGAUAUGCUUUGGUUGUGUCCCCUCUCACAUCUCAUCUUGAAUUUUAGUUCCCAUAAUCCCCACAUGUCACGGGAGGAACCCAGUGGGAGGUAAUUUAAUCACAGGGGUGGUGAUCCUCAUGCUGUUUUUGUGAUAGUGAGUGAGUUCUCAUGAGAUCUGAUGGUUAAGUACUUUUCCCCCUUUGCUCACCACUUCUCCUUGCUGCUGCCAUUUGAAGAAGGACGUGUUUGCUUCCCCUUCCACCAUGAUUGUAAGUUUUCUGAGGCUUCUAGAGCCAUGCAGAACCGUGAGUCAAUUAAACCUCUUUCCUUUAUAAAUUACCCAGUCUGAGAUAUGUCUUUAUUAGCUGCAUGAGAACGGACUAAUACAAGAUAUAACAACAACAACAAUAAUAAUAAUGUCAAGGUGUUUAUGCAUAUAAUCAGUUGCAGCCACAUCACAUCAAAAGUAAUAAUGACAACUAUUCAGUUAAAAAAAAAAAAAGAAAGAAAGUUCCGAGGAAAAAUGAAAAAGUGCCAGAGUUUCAAUGGAACUGUUGGAAACUUUGUCUCCAAAUUGAUUUAUUUUUCAAUUUGUUGGGGAGGAAAAAAAUACGUUUUCCUUCUACCCAUCAUAGGUUCAUUGGCUGGGGCCCCUGUAACAAAAGACAGAUUAACAAGAGAAAAGCAUACACAUUUAUUUAAUAUUAUUUUUUACAUGACACAGGAGCCUUCAUAAAGAAGUGAAGACUGAAAAAAACAGUUAAACCUGAGUGUUUUUAAAUAGAUUUGAGGAAGUGUUUUAAAUAGAUUUGAGGAAGAAUAGAGAAUCAUGGAAAAGCAUAAGGCAAAAAAAGAAAAAAAAGAGCAGGAAGAAAGAAGGAAGGAAGGAAGGAAGAAAGAGUAUGAGUUAAGGGUAAUAAUAAACUGGGGGAAACUUAGGCCUUUUUGUUCAGAUUCCUCUUGGUGUCCCUGUGAUCUGUGUCUUUGGAGGUAAGGAUGCUCCUUUCCUCCAGGUAUUGAGAAGCCACCUCUCACAUGAAGCCCUAUGACCUUCUCCAGGGGAGAAGUGAAGGAGAAGUCAGAGAUACCUUCCUGCAUAUCUAUUUCACAAAUUCCUUCAACUUAAAAUAUUCCGUAUGUCAAGGUGCCACAUUUUAGGAUAGCACAUCUUGAACUCUGUCAAGUUCUAUUUGUUUUUUUUAAUGUGAUGGAGUUUUUGGUGUGUGUGUGUUUAGUGCUGGGUGAGAAAAAUAUCUUAUAUCCUAAAAUACUAGUUGUAGUUAUGCACAAAUAGUCAUAAACUCAGAAUUUUAAAGUGAAAAAAUAAAUCUUAACCAUCAUUUAGCCUAAUAGUUAUAAUGACAGACCAUCAGAAUUAUCUAGAAUUGCAUGUGUGUAUAAUAUGAUCUUAAAUUGUAUCAUAUAUAUAUGUAUGUAUAGAUGUUGCUGAGUUUCAUUUCUGGAGAGUCAUUGCUAAUUCACGAGGUAUGGAGAAUGACAAUGCAAGGUUUCCUCUAUGAGCAGCCAGGUUGGGAAACCAUUUAUCUUAUAAGUUCUGUAACUUUGCAUGAGGCAACUGAAUCCUGUGUAGAUUGACCAACCUACCAAUUAUCAUACAGCCAUCGGAUACUGUAGUCAGUAAUAAA